UUCUAGCCCUGAUAGUAGUGGAAAUCCUUUUCCUUUUUUGAAAAUAAAAGGAAAAGAUUGCAGCGUAUAGCAGGAAAUAGC
This 81-nucleotide small RNA is filed under the name Flavobacterium segetis. RNAcentral's name for it is "Flavo-1 RNA". It matches the Rfam family "Flavo-1 RNA". Lineage: Bacteria; Pseudomonadati; Bacteroidota; Flavobacteriia; Flavobacteriales; Flavobacteriaceae. The record is from RNAcentral.